RNAcentral lists this ribosomal RNA (253 nucleotides) under uncultured bacterium. Its description in RNAcentral is "partial 16S ribosomal RNA". It matches the Rfam family "Bacterial small subunit ribosomal RNA", at positions 524 to 776 of the family's 1533-position model. The record is from RNAcentral.
UACGUAGGUGGCAAGCGUUGUCCGGAAUUAUUGGGCGUAAAGCGCGUGUAGGCGGCCAGAUAAGUCCGCUGUGAAAUCUCGAGGCUCAACUUCGAGCUGUCGGUGGAAACUGUCUGGCUAGAGUCCGGAAGAGGAGAAUGGAAUUCCUGGUGUAGCGGUGAAAUGCGCAGAUAUCAGGAAGAACACCCGUGGCGAAGGCGGUUCUCUGGGACGGUACUGACGCUGAGGAGCGAAAGCGUGGGGAGCAAACAGG